UAUGGUAAUGAUGUGCCUACAGGGUAGAACAUUUAGACUCAAUGAAAUUAUGAUUUUAAGUGAAAAAAUAGUGUUCAAAGAAUAAUUAAAUGACUGCAACUGCUCAGACACAUCACAUGGAUGAAAACCCACACAUCUGUAGUGAUGAUUAUAAAAGCAGGAGGAGAAAAGGGUGAAAAUCAAGGCCUCUGGACUCCUGGCAGGUGCCUAGGGUACCCACUGUGACCUCUGGAAGCAGGGGCUUUCCAAGGGAAGGGACUGAGCCCUUGGUUAGCAUUUGCCCUCCACAUAGCAUUUCAGUAGACUGCAGCAGCCGGUAUGGAUAAAGGAGUUUUCAUGCAGAAGAAUCCCAGCCAGAAAAUGAGGCGACUAGCCUGUCGGGCUGGGGUGCAGCUCAGUGCUAGAGCAAGAGGUCAGCAUGCAAGAGGCCCCGGGUUCCAUCCCCAGGACCCCAACCAGUAAGGGGCAGGGAGGGAGUAGGAAUCAGCCAUUUUACAGGACAGAAUAGAGCAGCCCUAGAAAAUGACACACUGUUUUAAAAAAAAUAAUAAUAACAUUUUUCCUUUUUUCAGUACUUGAAAUGGAACCCGGGGCCUCACACAUGUUGACAAAUGCUCCACCACUGAGCCACAUCCUCAGCCCUUUUUAUUUGGUUUUUAGACAGGGUCUCGCUAAGUUGCCCAAGCCGGCCCGGAACUUGCCAUCCUCCUGCCUCUGCCUCUGCCUCCUCCGUCCCUGGGAUCCCAGGCGUACCGUCGCCCUGGGCUCCACUGUUCUCUGGAACUCAAGACAUUCCUAACUGAUACCCCGUUUCAUCCCCAGCUCCCCUGCGGCUGGGCCUCACCAAUCCUGGCUGCUCCCUUCAGUUCCGUCCAUCCUGGGCUGCCUGUUUUUUCUGUUUUUGUUUUUAACUUUUGCAGUGCUGGGGAUGGGACCCACACAUGUGAGGCAAGCAGGCUACCUCUGAGCUGCGUCCCCAGCAUCAUCGUGAUCUACUUAAUUUCUCCAGUGCAUUCAAACCCUGCUGACUUAGGACCUUUGCUCAGGCUGUACCCUUUAUGUGUGUGUGUGUGUCUGUCUGUGUGUCUCUCUCUCUCCUUCCCCCCUCCCCACCCUUUCUCUGGGACUGGGGAUUGAAUCCAGGGGCCCUUUUAUUUUUAAUUUUAAUAAGCUGGUGGGCUUAUAUUUUUAAUUUUGAGACAGAGUUUAACUAAAUUGCCCAGGACCUUGCUAAGUUUCUAAGGCUGGCCUCAAACUUGCAGUCCUCCUGCCUCAGCCUCCAGAGACCCUGGGAUUACAGGUGUGUGCCACAGCACUCUCAUGGUAGCAGAAUGAUGGCCCUGGUAAGGCCACAUCCUGACCCACUGAGCCUGUGGGGACCCUCCUUACAAUAGAAGCCUAAGGGGCUUUGCUGGUGGGCUUAUAUUCAGGACCUAGAGAUGAGAGACCAACCUACAUCAUCCACAUGGGCCCAGUGCCCUUAGGAAGGUCCUUAAAAGAUGGAAGAGGGGGCUGGGGCGGUGGCUCAGAGGCAGAGCGCUCGCCCAGCACGCGUGAGGCCCUGGGUUCCAUCCUCAGCACCACAUAAGGUUAAUAAAUAAAGGGGUCGUGUCCACCUACAACUAAAAAAAUACCUAUUUAAGAAAAGAAAAGGGGGGCUGGGGCUGUAGCUCGCUGGUAGAGCGCUUGCCUCGCAUGCACGGUCCUGGGUUCAGUCCCCCCCCCCAAAAAAGAAAACAAAAAGAUGGAAGAGGGAGGCGGAAGGACCAGAGAGGGACGUGGCCGUGGAAGCUGGGGUCGCUGGCAGGGACCACAGGACAAGGGACCUGGGGCUCUGGGACCUGAGGACAGCCCAAAGUCCCCAGAGGGAGGCAGCCCUGCGGGCACCUCCAGCCCAGUGGGACAGUCAGCCUUCCAGGCCUGGGGUCAUAAGUGUCCCCAGCCUCACAGUCGGGGACUUUGCCCUGGCAGCUGCGGCGCCUCCCCAGCGCACUUGGCCUCUCUUUAUCUGAGUCUGCUCAUCUGGAAAAUGGAGACGGUGACGUGCCAGGGUCUGGGAUUUCACCUUGGUGUGCUGAGGAGUGAGCCUGAGGUGCCAUGGACGUUCCAACGCUAGCCACGGCCAGCACAAGGGACAAGCGUUGGCGUCUGUUUCCCAGGCCCCCAGAGUCCCCCGGGUCCCCAAGGCAAUGCAGAGACCAGGUGGGUGGCGCCCACACUCUGGUCCCUGUUGCUCUGAGGGGCUCCUGAGCUGGGGGAUGGGCCGCCUGGUUACUGCCUGCACUCCCCUUGUCCUUUUGCAGCAGCCACCAGAGGGCACCUGUGAGCACCAGAAUCCGGUCCCUUCCUCCUCUGCCUGCAGCCCUGGGUGGUUCCACCUCCCUCAGGGUCCCCUCUGCAGCUCACUGGCCUUGGGAGAACUGCCCCCUCUCCUUGCUGCCUCCUCUCCUCCCUCUCUCCCCUGCUUCCCUCUGCUCCAACUAUACUAUACAGGCUCCCUGCUCCCUGCUUUGUUCUGCCCCAGGGCCUUUGCAUGGGCUGCACCCUCUGCCUGGAGUGCUGUUCCCACAGACAACCAUGUGCCUCCCUGUGUCACCUCUCUAGGUCUCUGCUCAGAUAUCUUUAGAUGUAUAUUUAAUUUUUUGGGGGGGAUUUUUAACAUUUAUUUCUUAGUUUUCGGCGGACACAACAUCUUUGUUUGUAUGUGGUGCUGAGGAUUCGAACCCAGGCCACACGCAUGCCAGGCGAGCGCGCUACUGCUUGAGCCACAUCCCCAGCCCCUCUUUAGAUGUAUAAAUGUCUACUGCCAUUUGCCUGACACCCAGGGGAAGACUUCUUUGGUCAGAGCGUGGCCCAGACUCCUAUGGGUCCUGUGUCUGACUCGCCAGCCGCAGGGUUCCGUUCCUUCCUUGUAGAGUCCCGUUUAUACAAGGAUCUUGCCAAGUCAUCUGGGCGCAGUGGCUCACACCUGUCUGUUGAGAGCCACAGCCGAGUUGGGAUGGCGCCUGGCCUUUUGCCCGCAUGUUAACGCCUGAAGCAAUAAAUACAUUAAAACUCAUUGAAACAUAUGUGGAAAAUGUGCAUUUGGACAGAAUUGAUGGAGAACAGCAGCCGAUUUGGAUUCCAGAGAGACUAACUAAAGCGAUUUCUACAGAACAAAAAGAAGAUGAUUUGGCUCAAAUCCAUAACAGCUGAUGUCCAGAACUCUAGUUUGGCUAUCUUUACAUCUGCGACAGUGUUUCUCCCACACCUGGAGGCUAAUGAAUAAUGAACACCAUUAAGGCCUAUUUCAAAUGUAAAAAACUUUGGGGCUUGCUUGCGGGAAUACCUUCAGACCCAUUUGUGAGUUACAGGAAGAAGGAUGGGAUAUCAAAAGAAGAGUCAAACCCAGGUGGUAACCAGGAUGCUUUUUUCAAUAUCUAUUUUAUUAUUGCCCUCUCCCAUAUCAUGAAGUUCUAUUUUGUUUUUUUGAGCUCAUACAGACCUAGGUUAAUGUUUUUCUGAUCGGUUCUAUUUUUUGACUGUGGAGUUUUUAAACAUUGCAAUGGGGAUUUCACCUGUGAAAAGCUACAAGGCCUUUACUAUUAUGUUAGGUGUUGUAUGUAUUAUAUUAUGUGUGCACACUUGUGUUUUAUGUUGUAUGUCUUUAUGUGCGUAUGUCCAUAUAUAUGAGGAGUGCUCAUAAAAAAAUGGAUCCAAUUUUUUUUUUAUUAUUCACGUGAUUUAAAUGGUUUAAUUUAAAUUGGGUAAACAGCUGUUGAGGAUUGUUUUAAAAUGUGAACAAAAAAAGGAGGUUAACAGAUCUGUUUGUUUACUUUCACCUUUCCUGUUCAUUAUAUCUAAUUCUAUUCAGGAUACUAAAUUGUUUAGAAAAUUGCUUUUUUUUAGUGCCUGCUGGAAUGUUACAUAUUUUUUUUUAGCCAUUAUUGCCAGAAUUCCUAUCUUCAUCCCAGUGUCAGUGAAGACAAAACCAAACUACAGCUUCUGCGAUAGCUAUCACAGUAAACUGUGUAAACUGAUGCAUCAAUGAAUAAUGUAAAUCAACAAGUAAUGCUUAAUCAAGGAGUCGAUUUGCUUUGGGAGGAAAUGGACAUAUUGAUGGAUUCCUCUGCUUUGAACUGCUUGCAGAACUUGCCUGGACUAUGUGUCACUUAUACGCAUUGUGAACUAUCUGUUAGUGCAGCGAAUUGUGGUAGUGCUGGGGUAUUUUUGCUGAUGGUGUCAUCGGUGGUACAAUUUUUCCAAAAAGAGCCAUCAAUUGGCUUGGUGUCGUGGCAUUUUGUAUCCUCCUCCCUUCUGCUUGUGAUGGUCGUCGUUCAGCUAAAAUUUGGGGCCCAACAGAGGUGAGGCAAAGAACCUCACCUCCCCGCUGGUACAAAGGCCUAUCCACAGGUGUGGCUAUAUGCUGGACCGGUAGUCAGUGACGGGUAAGAUCCAAUUGCAAUGGUACCAACCUAAGAUAGGAGGCUGACGCCUUGAGGUCAGCUCAUCCGAUGAUGGGUAAGGACCAUAUGUAGUACUGGACAACCUAAGGCAGGCACGGCCCCUAAGUCACAUGCUUGUUUAAUUAAACAGAAGGGGGGAGAUGUUGAGAGCCACAGCCGAGUCGGGAUGGCCCCUGGCAUUUUGCCAGAAGGAGUGGUUGAGAGGUGAUGCCAGGGAGCCAUUAAGAUGAUGAUAAUUAAGUUAAGCUGUGUAUAAUUUCUGUGACUGGAUGAUGCUGGAUUGAAACAGGCUGUGGAUUCAGUUGUCUAUGGACCCUGCUGCCUCGGGCACCCGCUACUUUUGAGUUCUCAUUGACCUCUCGCGGAGCCCCGUGGAGAGAGUUCCCUAGGAGUGCGGGGAGUGUGCGUGGAGUGGAGUUCGGGCAAUAAAGGAGUUCCUGUUUGAACCUACAA
This is a long non-coding RNA of Marmota monax (woodchuck), 4898 nucleotides long. RefSeq lists it as uncharacterized. The record is from RefSeq and is a predicted model, not a curated record. NCBI's taxonomy places the organism in Eukaryota, Metazoa, Chordata, Mammalia, Rodentia, Sciuridae. The transcript is spliced from 2 exons.